GCCAGGCACCGUGGCGCAUGCCUAUAAUCCCAGCAGCUUGGGAGGCUGAGGCAGGAGGAUCGCGAAUUCAAAGCCAGCUUCAGCAAACAUGAGGGGAUAAGUAACUCAAUGAGACCCUGUCUCUA
Molecule: small RNA, 125 nt
Filed under: Marmota monax (woodchuck)
Lineage: Eukaryota; Metazoa; Chordata; Mammalia; Rodentia; Sciuridae
Source: RNAcentral